AUUGAACGCUGGCGGCAGGCCUAACACAUGCAAGUCGAACGGUAACAGGAAGCAGCUUGCUGCUUCGCUGACGAGUGGCGGACGGGUGAGUAAUGUCUGGGAAACUGCCUGAUGGAGGGGGAUAACUACUGGAAACGGUAGCUAAUACCGCAUAACGUCGCAAGACCAAAGAGGGGGACCUUAGGGCCUCUUGCCAUCGGAUGUGCCCAGAUGGGAUUAGCUAGUAGGUGGGGUAACGGCUCACCUAGGCGACGAUCCCUAGCUGGUCUGAGAGGAUGACCAGCCAGACUGGAACUGAGACACGGUCCAGACUCCUACGGGAGGCAGCAGUGGGGAAUAUUGCACAAUGGGCGCAAGCCUGAUGCAGCCAUGCCGCGUGUAUGAAGAAGGCAUUCGGGUUGUAAAGUACUUUCAGCGGGGAGGAAGGGAGUAAAGUUAAUACCUUGGCUCAUUGACGUUACCCGCAGAAGAAGCACCGGCUAACUCCGUG
This 490-nucleotide ribosomal RNA is filed under the name uncultured bacterium. Its description in RNAcentral is "partial 16S ribosomal RNA". It matches the Rfam family "Bacterial small subunit ribosomal RNA", at positions 30 to 507 of the family's 1533-position model. The record is from RNAcentral.